Lactobacillus apis is the source of this 368-nucleotide non-coding RNA. It matches the Rfam family "transfer-messenger RNA". From Rfam's summary of the family: Bacterial tmRNA, also known as 10Sa RNA or SsrA, is named for its dual tRNA and mRNA-like properties. Its role is to liberate the mRNA from a stalled ribosome. The record is from Rfam. Lineage: Bacteria; Bacillati; Bacillota; Bacilli; Lactobacillales; Lactobacillaceae.
GGGGAUGUUUUGGGAUUCGACAGGCGUAGAUUCGCAUUGACUGCGAUCCGUAGGUCACGUCUGCGUUAACAACGUCAACAGUUUUAUAACUGCAAAUAAAGAAAAUUCUUACGCAUUAGCUGCUUAAUUUAAGCGCAUGUGUUGCUUUUUAUCGGAUUACUCACGUCUGGUUAAAAGUAUCAACUUAGUGAGUUACGUUUAACUACCUCAUCUGAAUAGUUAAAAAGAGUCAUUUCAGGUUAGUUAGUCCAUUCUAGCCCUGUUAUAUGGCGUUUUGGAUUAGUGAAAUUCAAGUAAUAUAACUAUGAUUGUAGAUGUCAGUGACGGAAUGCGUUUGGACAGGGGUUCAAUUCCCCUCAUCUCCAUAU